RNAcentral lists this transfer RNA (72 nucleotides) under Camelus bactrianus (Bactrian camel). It matches the Rfam family "tRNA". Rfam says of the family: Transfer RNA (tRNA) molecules are approximately 80 nucleotides in length. Their secondary structure includes four short double-helical elements and three loops (D, anti-codon, and T loops). The record is from Rfam by way of RNAcentral. Lineage: Eukaryota; Metazoa; Chordata; Mammalia; Artiodactyla; Camelidae. RNAcentral also lists the same sequence under 2 other names.
GAGGGCAUAGAUCAGAGGUAGAGUGCAUGCUUGGCAUGCAUGAGGUCCUGGGUUCAAUCCCCAGUAGCUCCA